GCGAGGUGGAGCAAAUCUCAAAAAGCCGUCCCAGUUCGGAUUGCAGGCUGCAACCCGCCUGCAUGAAGUUGGAAUCGCUAGUAAUCGCGGAUCAGCAUGCCGCGGUGAAUACGUUCCCGGGCCUUGUACACACCGCCCGUCACACCAUGAGAGUCGGGAACACCCGAAGUCCGUAGCCUAACCGCAAGGGGGGCGCGGCCGAAGGUGGGUUCGAUAAUUGGGGUGAAGUCGUAACAAGGUAAC
Molecule: ribosomal RNA, 243 nt
Filed under: uncultured bacterium
Lineage: Bacteria
Description: partial 16S ribosomal RNA
Rfam family: Bacterial small subunit ribosomal RNA
Source: RNAcentral